RNAcentral lists this transfer RNA (21 nucleotides) under Trachylepis damarana (Damara skink). Its description in RNAcentral is "partial tRNA-Tyr". The record is from RNAcentral. Lineage: Eukaryota; Metazoa; Chordata; Lepidosauria; Squamata; Scincidae.
GGCUUGGUAAGAACGGGACUU